GCAGACCGUCGCCAUAGCAACCGGAGACACUCGCAUUGGCCUGCGGCAACAAGGGGAGAGGAGUUCCUGUUGUUUAGGCCUUUGUGACCCAGUGCUUAUGUUCCGAAGACUAUACUUUGACAUCCCGUCUUCUCCAGGCCCCCACUUCCUCCCUGUUAAGGAAGAUUAGCCCUGAGCUAACAUCUACCGCCAAUCCUC
This is a non-coding RNA of Equus caballus (horse), 198 nucleotides long. The record is from RefSeq and is a predicted model, not a curated record. Lineage: Eukaryota; Metazoa; Chordata; Mammalia; Perissodactyla; Equidae.